UUGAUUUGGGAGGGAGUAUGUGCUUCCCACUUGAGAUUUCAACGCAUUCAAACAUACCUCAACUUCGACUAGAUAUAUGCAACUAGGUGAAGCUUUUCACGUAGUUAAGACUUUAUGAUUAGAACUCCAUGUUUCAGGUUCUGAUGUCAAAAAUAAUAUUCAUUGGCACGUUUCAUUGAUUGACAACCUUUAGCGGUGGCCUGUUUGGGAUAUGGUUUCUAUUGACAAUGUCCUCAUGAUUUCACAGGGUGGCCUGUUUUAAUGGGAAGUGAGGGCAGUUUUACAUUAUUGAGUGGGAUGGUUCAUAAUGUGUGUUUCAUUUAAUUUUAAUUGGAAAAUGAGAUCUGGCAAAUGGAUGGAAAUGAAUAUUUGAAAGAAAUAUUUUCUUGCAUACUUUGUUAGAGUAUGCUUGCUUGCAUACUUUGCUCUCAUCUUUCCAAAAAGAAGAAGCAUACUUUGUUAGUCUCUUUUUUUUUUUUUGUUUCCCUUAUAUCAGCAUGUCUUUUGUUUCUUGUGGAGUAAGGUAUUGGAAAUAUACAUACAAAAUGUAUUUUCUUUUCUAAGAUUUUUCGACAAAGAAUAUUUAUUCUAAUGAAAUAAAGAAUGUUGUUGUAUUCAGGAGACUGCAAGAUUCAAUAAAUUACUAAGCUCUUAGUGAUUUUCAAUUACGAGCAAUCAAAAAAGUUUGGAGCUGUACUUUUCACAAUUAUUUUCAAACACUAAAUAAGUUUCUUCAUUGCAUUCAAUUCCCUAAACGUUCAUAUGUUUUGGUACACCCAUCUGUUUAGGAAUCAGAACUCUGUCCAGACACCAUCUAUUUAGGAAACAAACAGAUUGUUCGAAGUUUCAUUCUUGCUCCAGUUACUAUCUUGUACCCUAUAAAGGCAUUCAGUUCUCCUCCUGUUUUUGUAACUCCUGUAAUUUUUAAAUCCACCCGAGUAAUUGCGACAGCCAGUCCCCAGCAUGGUAAAGGAGGUCGAUGUCAGGUGGGUUGCCGAUUUUGAACUUCCUCAGGUAAUCGUGAGAAUUCCUGUUUAAACAAGAACUUGUAAAGCUGGCUCAGAUAGCUGGAACAAGGCUAUGAUUAAUAUUUUCUUUCAAUUUUAUCGGCAUUCAGGCUUCUCUAUUUUUUCUUAUUUUUAUUUCUCCACUUGCUAGAAAAUGGGAGGAGAGGCGAUUGCACAUAUGGUUGCCGGUUCUUCUCAUCAUUCUUCAGUUGAAACUGAAUGUUUGAAUUCAUUCAGGGCAUCAGAAAAAUCUGUGCAGGCCCAGAAAUGUGCCGAACCCCACUUAAAAACAGUUAAAAUUGUUUUUGAACAAUUGGUGUAAUCACAAAUGUUAGACACCUCUCUGUUGCAGUUCUUAGUUUAUUCUAAUAAUGCGGUAAUGUUUGCAUGCUACCAUCUAUAGUUAUCUGAGGCAUGGAAAUGAUGUAUUGGACAGUUUAAAAUAUCCAAAGGUCCUAUUUCAGCCAACAAGUAUCCACCAAUCAAAGGUUAGGAUUACUUAACUGAAUUGAUUUUGGGAUUGUACUUAGCUACAGUGUUUUCUACAGUUCAGUUGGUUUACUUUGAGUAUUACGACAUAGUGCCUGCGUAUCAUGCAUCACAGACUGAAUUGAAAAACUUCCCUGACAUAGUGCCCACGUACCAUGCGUCACAGACAAUCAUAGUAUUAAAACUUCCCUUUGGGGAGUUGGAAAAGUUGUCGUGGUUGGGGGGUGAGGAAUGAUAGGUGCUGGACUUUAUAUCAUAAAUAUGGUAGUGGAAUGUGUCCUCUACUGUAUACCAUUCUAAAAUGAAUUGCAAUAAUCUUGUUUCAAGUAAAGAAGUUAUGAGAAUUAUGUGUUAGCUUUGGGUUUGGGAAUUUGACGUGUUAACAUAAGAACAAUAGUUUUCUAUAUUUCAAAUCUUUCGUUCUUGGUAUGCCAUUACUUUAUUUUGAAUUCUUGUAUGACUUGAUGUUGAAGUUCCAUUUGCUCCAUGCAAUUAUAUUUCUGGUGCAAUUGGAGAUCUGAAAUGCCUACUCUCCAUGUACAUUCUAUGUCUCAAUUUUGUUUCUAAAAUUUAUAUAUAAAGUCAUUGUUUUCUCUAAUGUCAGCAGAUGGGUGAUUUUGUUGUCACUUACGGAUUCUUUGGUGUUUAUUUUUGUUAACAUUUUAUGAGUGGGUUUGUGGGUGUUGUCCUCAGGAUUGGUCUUUCAACGACAUUGAUGGGGAUAUACCAUUUUCAAUUUCAAAGUUGAAAAAGUUGGAAUUCAUGUAAGUCGCGUUCUUCUAGUGUGUUUUACUUGCAUGGGAAACCAUUGUUUCUGUAGAAAUUUUCAUUUUGAUUUACGUUUGUUACCAUCCUACAAAUAUCCAUUCUUUUCCAUAUUCUGUUUGCUAUCCACUUGAAAUGUUUGUCAAAAUAAUAAUAUUUUAAGUUGCUUGAAGCAUCUUAAUGUAUUGAAGAAAAUCUUGAUGGGUGAUGGUUUGGAAUUAUGGGACCAUCUUAAAGCUAAUGCAAGUUUGGCAUUAUAUUAAUGCCUUUCUAAAAAGAUUCCACAUGAUUCUAGUUUUGGUAGUUUCAUGUUCUAGCUAUUACAAUUUUUUAAAUUUAAACUAUACAGGUAUCUCUGCCGUUACAAUGAAAAUGGCUCAUUUGUCUUUAUAUUUUGGCAGGUUUUCAGGUGAGAUGGACGAGUUUCAAAACAAAACAGUCUGUGGUUUUGAGAAGCGAUUCUCAGGAUGUAUGUGUGUUUCAGGGGCCAUCUACACCUUGGAAGCAUACAAUGGAAGGAUGAUUGAAUAUACGAAGCUGUUGCAGGAAGUGACUUUGUCAUUACUAGAGUUGCAUUUCGAGACAACUCUUCAAAGUACUACAUAAAUGACCGUGGAAGUAAUUUUAUAGAGGUCACUAAGAAAUUGAAAGGAAAAUGAGUGGACUUGGACAACAAUCGGUUUUUUAUUCUUUAGGUGGGUGAUGGCUGAAAAAGGCCUAUUUACUUCUGAACAAAAUAUCAUACCGUCAAAAUAUAUCUUCUCUUUCAAUUCUUUAUCAUUGAAAUUUCAGGGUGAAGUCGAGCAAAUUUCUCUAAUGAAGCCAAAGAUUUAUAUUUUCAGCAUUAUUAUAAUUGUAAUUAUAAUUAAUUGAAUGAAGGAUUGUAAUUGAUUGUAAUUAUAAUUGUUAUUGAUUGAAUGAAGGAUUGUAAUUGAUUGUAAUUGUAAUUGUAAUUGAUUGAAUGAAGGAUUGUAAUUGAAUGGAUGAAUGAUUGUAAUUGAUUGUAA
Molecule: long non-coding RNA, 3268 nt
Organism: Magnolia sinica
Lineage: Eukaryota; Viridiplantae; Streptophyta; Magnoliopsida; Magnoliales; Magnoliaceae
Exons: 5
Source: RefSeq, a predicted model, not a curated record